RNAcentral lists this ribosomal RNA (650 nucleotides) under uncultured Hymenochaetales. Its description in RNAcentral is "eukaryotic LSU rRNA". The stretch from base 245 to 398 matches the Rfam family "5.8S ribosomal RNA". The record is from RNAcentral. Lineage: Eukaryota; Fungi; Basidiomycota; Agaricomycetes; Hymenochaetales.
AGUUCGUAGGUGACCUGCGGAGGAUCAUUUAAUGAGUUGAACCAGGACUUGAUGCUGGUCUACGCUUGUAGACAUGUGCUCAGUUCUACUCAAUCCAUAUAACACCUGUGCACUUUCAAAGUUGUAGUCCUCCGUCAUGGGAGUCGCAUUUUGUAAUGAGAUGCUGGGACUAUGCUUUGCCCAUUAUCACAAACCAAUUUAAAGUCUUGUAGAAUGUAACUAGCCUAAGGGCCUAAUCUAAUACAACUUUUAACAACGGAUCUCUUGGCUCUCGCAUCGAUGAAGAACGCAGCGAAAUGCGAUAAGUAAUGUGAAUUGCAGAAUUCAGUGAAUCAUCGAAUCUUUGAACGCACCUUGCACUCCUUGGUAUUCCGAGGAGUAUGCCUGUUUGAGUGUCUUGUAAUCAUCAAUUCUACAUUGCUUUUUGUAAUGCUGGAUUGGACUUGGGGACUGUUGGUCUUACGACUGACUUCUCUUGAAUGCAUUAGUGGAAUCGAAUUACAAUGCUACGUGUAGUGUGAUAAUAUCUUCACUGCAUAGUUGUAAUGAAGUUCUGCUUCUAACAGUCCUUCGUUGGACAAUACUUGACCAUUUGACCUCAAAUCAGGUAGGACUACCCGCUGAACUUAAGCAUAUCAAUAAGCGGAGGA